This 253-nucleotide ribosomal RNA is filed under the name uncultured bacterium. RNAcentral's name for it is "partial 16S ribosomal RNA". It matches the Rfam family "Bacterial small subunit ribosomal RNA", at positions 524 to 776 of the family's 1533-position model. The record is from RNAcentral.
UACGUAGGUGACAAGCGUUAUCCGGAGUUACUGGGCGUAAAGCGCACGCAGGCGGUUAGAUAAGUUUGAUGUAAAAUCUUCUGGCUUAACUGGGAGAAGUCGUUGAAUACUGUCUGACUAGAGGCAAUGAGAGGAGUGCAGAAUCCCCGGUGUAGUGGUGGAAUGCGUAGAGAUCGGGGGGAAUAUCUGAGGCGAAAGCGGCACUCUGGCAUUGAACUGACGCUCAUGAGCGAAAGCGUGGGGAGCGAACGGG